CGGGGCUGAGGAGCUUUAUACGGACGCGCUCGGUUGGGAAGAUGGGGGUCGUGGGCGUGGCGGACGACGUCUGUGAGGAGAAAUCGGGCGGCAGUUGGAGGAAGGAGGCGAAGCUGACAGGUGGGGCCCGCCUGGCAGCAGCUGUGGCUCGGGCGCAGCAAGGUUGGGCUGCUCGCGGUUCGGUAAGUGGGCCAGCCCAGUAAGGGUGGGUCCGGUUUCUUUUUUCUUUCUUUUUUCUGUUUCUGGUUUUGAACUAGACUUUUGAUUCAAAGCUCCAAAUUGAGUCAAAUAAAAUGCAACAAAAUUUGUAAAAUCAUAUCUUCAUAUGAUUCAACUUUUGGGACAAGAAUUACCUCAAAAUAAAAUAUUUAAAAAUAUUUUUGCCUAAAAACUUGCCUUUAGGGCUUUAUAAGUAAUGAAAUUUGUAGUGUUUCAAAUCCAAAAUCAAAUACCAAACAUGGGGUAGCAUUAUCAUG
This 476-nucleotide long non-coding RNA is filed under the name Brachypodium distachyon (stiff brome). RNAcentral's name for it is "long non-coding RNA (BDIS_LNC002222)". Lineage: Eukaryota; Viridiplantae; Streptophyta; Magnoliopsida; Poales; Poaceae. The record is from RNAcentral.